CCUACGGGUGGCAGCAGUGGGGAAUAUUGCACAAUGGGCGCAAGCCUGAUGCAGCCAUGCCGCGUGUGUGAAGAAGGCCUUCGGGUUGUAAAGCACUUUCAGCGGGGAGGAAGGCGGUGAGGUUAAUAACCUCAUCGAUUGACGUUACCCGCAGAAGAAGCACCGGCUAACUCCGUGCCAGCAGCCGCGGUAAUACGGAGGGUGCAAGCGCUAAUCGGAAUUACUGGGCGUAAAGCGCACGCAGGCGGUCUGUCAAGUCGGAUGUGAAAUCCCCGGGCUCAACCUGGGAACUGCAUUCGAAACUGGCAGGGUAGAGUCUUGUAGAGGGGGGUAGAAUUCCAGGUGGUGGGGGGAAAGUCGUAGGGGUCUGGAGGAAUACCGGGUGCGAAGGCGGCCCCCUGGACAAAGACUGACGCUCAGGUGCGAAAGCGUGGGGAGCAAACAGGAUUAGAUACCCCAGUAGUC
RNAcentral lists this ribosomal RNA (465 nucleotides) under uncultured Klebsiella sp. RNAcentral describes it as "bacterial SSU rRNA". It matches the Rfam family "Bacterial small subunit ribosomal RNA", at positions 338 to 795 of the family's 1533-position model. Lineage: Bacteria; Pseudomonadati; Pseudomonadota; Gammaproteobacteria; Enterobacterales; Enterobacteriaceae. The record is from RNAcentral.